Molecule: ribosomal RNA, 906 nt
Filed under: uncultured bacterium
Lineage: Bacteria
Description: bacterial SSU rRNA
Rfam family: Bacterial small subunit ribosomal RNA
Source: RNAcentral
AGAGUUUGAUCCUGGCUCAGGAUGAACGCUAGCGGCAGGCCUAACACAUGCAAGUCGAACGGUAACAUGAGAGCUUGCUCUUGAUGACGAGUGGCGCACGGGUGCGUAACGCGUAUACAAUCUACCUUUUACAGAGGGAUAGCCCAGAGAAAUUUGGAUUAAUAUCUCAUAGUAUUAUAUUAUGGCAUCAUUAUAUAAUUAAAGAUUUAUCGGUAAAAGAUGAGUAUGCGUUCUAUUAGUUAGUUGGAGUGGUAACGGCACCCCAAGACAGCGAUAGAUAGGGGCCCUGAGAGGGGGAUCCCCCACACUGGUACUGAGACACGGACCAGACUCCUACGGGAGGCAGCAGUGAGGAAUAUUGGACAAUGGAGGCAACUCUGAUCCAGCCAUGCCGCGUGCAGGAAGACUGCCCUAUGGGUUGUAAACUGCUUUUAUACAGGAAGAAACCGCUCUACGUGUAGAGCUCUGACGGUACUGUAAGAAUAAGGAUCGGCUAACUCCGUGCCAGCAGCCGCGGUAAUACGGAGGAUCCAAGCGUUAUCCGGAAUCAUUGGGUUUAAAGGGUCCGUAGGUGGAUAAUUAAGUCAGGGGUGAAAGUCUGCAGCUCAACUGUAGAAUUGCCUUUGAUACUGGUUAUCUUGAGUUAUUAUGAAGUAGUUGGAAUAUGUAGGGGUAGCGGGUGAAAUGCAUAGAUAUUACAUAGAAUACCAAUUGCGAAAGGCAGAUUACUAAUAAUAUACUGACACUGAUGGACGAAAGCGUGGGGAGCGAACAGGAUUAGAUACCCUGGUAGUCCACGCCGUAAACGAUGGUUACUAGCUGUUCGGACUUCGGUCUGAGUGGCUAAGCGAAAGUGAUAAGUAACCCACCUGGGGAGUACGUUCGCAGAUGAAACUCAAGGANUGA